This 197-nucleotide non-coding RNA is filed under the name Lentisphaerota bacterium. The record is from RNAcentral. Lineage: Bacteria; Pseudomonadati; Lentisphaerota.
CUGCAAUGAUAUUUUACUGGAUUGUUUUCAGAAUAACGGAAGACGGUGAGAAUCCGUCGCGGUCCCGCCGCUGUAACCGGGGAUCUCCAGGACAUAAGGCCGAAAGGCCGGUCACUGAAAGUUAAUAACUUUUCGGGAAGACUGUCCAGGAGUGAUGAUCCGGAAGCCAGAAGACGAACUGGAAAUAAUACUGGAAU